Molecule: ribosomal RNA, 301 nt
Filed under: uncultured bacterium
Lineage: Bacteria
Description: partial 16S ribosomal RNA
Rfam family: Bacterial small subunit ribosomal RNA
Source: RNAcentral
CAGUCGCCGCGGUAAUACGAAGGGGGCUAGCGUUGUUCGGAAUUACUGGGCGUAAAGGGAGCGUAGGCGGAUCGUUAAGUUGGGGGUGAAAGCCCGGGGCUCAACCUCGGAAUUGCCUUCAAUACUGGCGAUCUUGAGUAUGGAAGAGGUAUGUGGAACUCCGAGUGUAGAGGUGAAAUUCGUUGAUAUUCGGAAGAACACCAGUGGCGAAGGCGACAUACUGGUCCAUUACUGACGCUGAGGCUCGAAAGCGUGGGGAGCAAUCAGGAUUAGAUACCCGAGUAGUCCCUGUCUCUUAUAC